GGUUAAAGCCAUACUGCGAUGAAUACACCACAACUCUUCAGAACUGUGCAGUUAACCAUCGCAGGGCCCGGAUAGUACUGAGGUGGGGGACCGCUCGGGAAGUCCUUAGGGUGCUGCCAGCU
RNAcentral lists this ribosomal RNA (122 nucleotides) under Candidatus Woesearchaeota archaeon. The record is from RNAcentral. Lineage: Archaea; Nanobdellati; Candidatus Woesearchaeota.